GCAAAAGUUGUGGCAAGUCCAGCCGGAGUUAGCGACAGGGAGGGAUGCGCGCCUGGGUGUAGUUGUGGGGGAGGAAGUGGCUAGCUCAGGGCUUCAGGGGACAGACAGGGAGAGAUGACUGAGUUAGAUGAGACGAGGGGGCGGGCUGGGGGUGCGAGAAGGAAGCUUGGCAAGGAGACUAGGUCUAGGGGGACCACAGUGGGGCAGGCUGCAUGGAAAAUAUCCGCAGGGUCCCCCAGGCAGAACAGCCACGCUCCAGGCCAGGCUGUCCCUACUGCCUGGUGGAGGGGGAACUUGACCUCUGGGAGGGCGCCGCUCUUGCAUAGCUGAGCGAGCCCGGGUGCGCUGGUCUGUGUGGAAGGAGGAAGGCAGGGAGAGGUAGAAGGGGUGGAGGAGUCAGGAGGAAUAGGCCGCAGCAGCCCUGGAAAUGAUCAGGAAGGCAGGCAGUGGGUGCAGGGCUGCAGGAGGGCCGGGAGGGCUAAUCUUCAACUUGUCCAUGCCAGCAGCCCCUUUUUUUCCAGACCAAGGGCUGUGAACCCGCCUGGGGAUGAGGCCUGGUCUUGUGGAACUGAACUUAGCUCGACGGGGCUGACCGCUCUGGCCCAGGGUGGUGGCAGUGCUCCUUUUGGACUUUUCUCUAGGUUUGGCGCUAAACUCUUCUUGUGAGCUCACUCCACCCCUUCUUCCUCCCUUUAACUUAUCCAUUCACUUAAAACAUUACCUGGUCAUCUGGUAAGCCCGGGACAGUAAGCCGAGUGGCUGUUGGAGUCGGUAUUGUUGGUAAUGGUGGAGGAAGAGAGGCCUUCCCGCUGAGGCUGGGGUGGGGCGGAUCGGUGUUGCUUGCCUGCAGAGAGGGUGGGGAGUGAAUGUGCACCCUUGGGUGGGCCUGCAGCCAUCCAGCUGAAAGUUACAAAAAUGCUUCAUGGACCGUGGUUUGUUACUAUAGUGUUCCUCAUGGCGAGCAGAUGGAACCGGGAGACAUGGAGUCCCUGGCCAGUGUGAGUCCUAGCAUUGCAGGAGGGGAGACCCUGGAGGAGAGAGCCCGCCUCAAUUGAUGCCUGCAGAUUGAAUUUCCAGAGGCUUAGGAGGAGGAAGUUCUCCAAUGUUCUGUUUCCAGGCCUUGCUCAGGAAGCCCUGUAUUCAGGAGGCUACCAUUUAAAGUUUGCAGAUGAGCUUAUGGGGGGCAAUCUUAAAAAGUCCACAGCAGAUGCAUCCGGCUCGAGGGGCCAUCAGCUUUGAAUAAAUGCUUGUUCCAGAGCCCAUGAAUGCCAGCAGGCACCCCUCCUUUCCUGGGGUAAAGGUUUUCAGAUGCUGCAUCUUCUAAAUUGAGCCUCCGGUCAUACUAGUUUUGUGCUUGGAACCUUGCUUCAAGAAGAUCCCUAAGCUGUAGAACAUUUUAACGUUGAUGCCACAACGCAGAUUGAUGCCUUGUAGAUGGAGCUUGCAGAUGGAGCCCCGUGACCUCUCACCUACCCACCUGUUUGCCUGCCUUCUUGUGCGUUUCUCGGAGAAGUUCUUAGCCUGAUGAAAUAACUUGGGGCGUUGAAGAGCUGUUUAAUUUUAAAUGCCUUAGACUGGGGAUAUAUUAGAGGAAGCAGAUUGUCAAAUUAAGGGUGUCAUUGUGUUGUGCUAAACGCUGGGAGGGUACAAGUUGGUCAUUCCUAAAUCUGUGUGUGAGAAAUGGCAGGUCUAGUUUGGGCAUUGUGAUUGCAUUGCAGAUUACUAGGAGAAGGGAAUGGUGGGUACACCGGUAGUGCUCUUUUGUUCUUGCUUCGUUUUUUUAAACUUGAACUUUACUUCGUUAGAUUUCAUAAUACUUUCUUGGCAUUCUAGUAAGAGGACCCUGAGGUGGGAGUUGUGGGGGACGGGGAGAAGGGGACAGCUUGGCACCGGUCCCGUGGGCGUUGCAGUGUGGGGGAUGGGGGUAUGCAGCUUGGCACUGGUACUGGGAGGGAUGAGGGUGAAGAAGGGGAGAGGGUUGGUUAGAGAUACAGUGUGGGUGGUGGGGGUGGUAGGAAAUGCAGGUUGAAGGGAAUUCUCUGGGGCUUUGGGGAAUUUAGUGCGUGGGUGAGCCAAGAAAAUACUAAUUAAUAAUAGUAAGUUGUUAGUGUUGGUUAAGUUGUUGCUUGGAAGUGAGAAGUUGCUUAGAAACUUUCCAAAGUGCUUAGAACUUUAAGUGCAAACAGACAAACUAACAAACAAAAAUUGUUUUGCUUUGCUACAAGGUGGGGAAGACUGAAGAAGUGUUAACUGAAAACAGGUGACACAGAGUCACCAGUUUUCCGAGAACCAAAGGGAGGGGUGUGUGAUGCCAUCUCACAGGCAGGGGAAAUGUCUUUACCAGCUUCCUCCUGGUGGCCAAGACAGCCUGUUUCAGAGGGUUGUUUUGUUUGGGGUGUGGGUGUUAUCAAGUGAAUUAGUCACUUGAAAGAUGGGCGUCAGACUUGCAUACGCAGCAGAUCAGCAUCCUUCGCUGCCCCUUAGCAACUUAGGUGGUUGAUUUGAAACUGUGAAGGUGUGAUUUUUUCAGGAGCUGGAAGUCUUAGAAAAGCCUUGUAAAUGCCUAUAUUGUGGGCUUUUAACGUAUUUAAGGGACCACUUAAGACGAGAUUAGAUGGGCUCUUCUGGAUUUGUUCCUCAUUUGUCACAGGUGUCUUGUGAUUGAAAAUCAUGAGCGAAGUGAAAUUGCAUUGAAUUUCAAGGGAAUUUAGUAUGUAAAUCGUGCCUUAGAAACACAUCUGUUGUCUUUUCUGUGUUUGGUCGAUAUUAAUAAUGGCAAAAUUUUUGCCUAUCUAGUAUCUUCAAAUUGUAGUCUUUGUAACAACCAAAUAACCUUUUGUGGUCACUGUAAAAUUAAUAUUUGGUAGACAGAAUCCAUGUACCUUUGCUAAGGUUAGAAUGAAUAAUUUAUUGUAUUUUUAAUUUGAAUGUUUGUGCUUUUUAAAUGAGCCAAGACUAGAGGGGAAACUAUCACCUAAAAUCAGUUUGGAAAACAAGACCUAAAAAGGGAAGGGGAUGGGGAUUGUGGGGAGAGAGUGGGCGAGGUGCCUUUACUACAUGUGUGAUCUGAAAACCCUGCUUGGUUCUGAGCUGCGUCUAUUGAAUUGGUAAAGUAAUACCAAUGGCUUUUUAUCAUUUCCUUCUUCCCUUUAAGUUUCACUUGAAAUUUUAAAAAUCAUGGUUAUUUUUAUCGUUGGGAUCUUUCUGUCUUCUGGGUUCCAUUUUUUAAAUGUUUAAAAAUAUGUUGACAUGGUAGUUCAGUUCUUAACCAAUGACUUGGGGAUGAUGCAAACAAUUACUGUCGUUGGGAUUUAGAGUGUAUUAGUCACGCAUGUAUGGGGAAGUAGUCUCGGGUAUGCUGUUGUGAAAUUGAAACUGUAAAAGUAGAUGGUUGAAAGUACUGGUAUGUUGCUCUGUAUGGUAAGAACUAAUUCUGUUACG
Molecule: long non-coding RNA, 3441 nt
Organism: Homo sapiens (human)
Lineage: Eukaryota; Metazoa; Chordata; Mammalia; Primates; Hominidae
Gene: NEAT1
Product: nuclear paraspeckle assembly transcript 1
Source: Ensembl